RNAcentral lists this long non-coding RNA (2481 nucleotides) under Homo sapiens (human). RNAcentral describes it as "long non-coding RNA NONHSAT089233.2". The record is from RNAcentral. Lineage: Eukaryota; Metazoa; Chordata; Mammalia; Primates; Hominidae.
UGCCAUUUCUGAAGCCACCUCAUUUAAUUUAUACAUAGGAUAUAAAUGGCUAUACAUUUUUACACACUUUUAUACAAGUUUAGGUUGUACUACUGAGUUUGUUAAAAUGUACCCAUUAUUUACUCAAAAUAUUUAUUGUUACAAGAAAACCGUAAGAAGCUUGUGUAACAUGAACAGCAAGUAUUGAAAACGAAUAUGUAAAGUAAAUGGUUUUGCCCUGACUAAAUCAGCCUCAGUAUUUUAUGCUUUUAGUAGAAAAGCCCAUUAAACAAAAUAGAAUCCUGGGGGAUCAAAUCAUAUGAAUGAUUCAUGAAAUAACACUUCUGAAGCAACCCCAGAAUCAUAUAAAUGUAAGGGUUAAAGGUCAUAUGUACUAAGCAUGGGUCAGAGGAAUAGAAUGGAUUUGUUAAUUUUACCCUAAAUAAAAGGCGCUUGUGGGCAACAGCUCUGCCAUCAAUACACAUGGGCAGAUGUUUCCGAAUCCAGCCAUUCCCAGAUUUCACUGACAUGCCCUUUUCCACAGGCUCCCUGCUGAUGAGAUUUCCCCAGCAGCAGAAGUUUGACAUCACUGCUCCCGGAUGGGAGAAUCAGAGCUCUCCUCAUUUGGGUCAGGGGUGGCUGGCUCACGAGGUUUGGUCCAACCAGCAGAACCAGCUCCUUGGAUCCUGGAAUAAACCAAACAUCAAUGGUACCAUGCGCUCUGUGCCCAGGGAGUGAAAGGCAGGUCCAGGGUGGGAAGAAGAGGGGCUGCUACCUUUUGGAGUGAAAAAAAUGAGGUUUACACUGUAGUAUAACAAAAUGCCUUUUUGUAAAGGCCAGAAGAAAUGGCUGUGCUGUGCUGCCUGAAGCAGAAAAACCUUCAUGUACCAGGUGAAUGUAAAGCCUUUCUCCUCCCACACACAAUGGACUCACCCAGUAUUACCCUCCACUACCACUUUUGACCCUCAUAACAGCACCCUGGCGGGGGGGCAGAUUGAUGUUAUCACCAUUUACCAGAUGAGGAAACUGAGGCCUGAUGGGCAGUGAUUUGUGCACUGCGACAUAGGACUCAGUGAAGAGCCUAGCCAGCUGACGGUCAGCUGACUGGUGCACUCUUUCCCUCACCUUCUCUCUCAAGGGCACAGCUACACUCUUUCUCCACCAUUAUUAACACUCACAGGGCACAGGUAGAGCGUCCCCAGACCUGUGCAAUAUUCUACACGAAAACAUUUGGAAUGUGAGCAAUGUCUGAACAGGGGCUUGCCAGGCACAUCUGAUCACCAUAAAUGCUCCCACCCCUGCCUGUCCUCACUUGUGCUGCACUAUGCAAGCAAGCAGCAGGUUCUCAGAAGGCCACUGUCCUGCAUGUCACAAUGAGUGGCCAACUCCUUCACAGAACAGCAAAUAGCAGCCCUGGCUACAAGGUGCAGUGUGCAACCCCCAUAUGCCAAGGGGCAGCUGCUAUCUUCCAGCAGAGAGAGAACCCCCAGCUCUGCUCCCUACCUAUGCCCUGCUUCCUGUGCCUCACACAGCCAGCCUUGCUGGCCUGCUGGCUAUUGUCUCUGACUCUGAGCUGUGCUGACCACCAAGUGUUACUCCUCUCCAAGACUUGACUCCCAGGCAUGGGUGGGAGAGUUGAACCUCAAUGCAAUCUGCUCCCACUCUGAAGCUCGUCUACCCACCCCAUUUGUUACAAUUAAAGAUGGUUUUCUCAUCCCUCCAGAGACUCCAGUUUCAGACUCUGUCUCCAGAGCUGGAAUGUAUAGGGCAGAGGUAGAAAGAGGCAGGAGAGUUGGAGAACAAGAGCACCUAGAAAAGAACAGAGGAGCUCAAGCUCAUUUAAUCAAAAUGCUUAAAUGUUUUAAUUCCAGCAUUCUCCAGAGUUCACAGAAAAGAGGGAUGCAAGCCCAAAAAGCAAAAGCAGGAGCUUAUGGUCACAUGCCUCCAGCUGCAGGCAGUGGGGCCUCUGGUACUGAGAGGGAAUGCCACCCGAAUAUGCCCCAGCUGUCUCCACCCAGGAAAAGGAAAGCCAGCUCUUUCUGGAUGAGCCCCCAGAUCCAGCUGUCCUAGGUAAACGUGCUGAACUGGCUGGAGAUCCUGCAGUAAUGCUUGGCACAGAACCAAGGCUGGGUAUCAAGCAACCUCAUGACUUCCACUGCAACUGUUUAACAUCCCCAAUUCCUGGUUUUUCAGUCCAGUUGGCUGAAAAGGAUGGAAACUGGAGUGUAAAGUAGAGAAGCAGAAAGAGAAACAUAGAUUGAUCCUCAAAAGAAAAUCAAAGAAUCCAUUCAUCACAGUGUCAUCCUCAUACUCCACAGUCAGACUGCUUCUCCUGAAGCUGCCUUGUUAGUAUCUGAUAUGAAGACAGAAAAGCCACUCCUAUGUGGAAAAGGAUUUGCCAGAGGUUCCUCAGCCCGUGCAGGUACAUGUUGCCCAGGCAAAUAAAGAGCAGCAUAAGCACCACCUUCAUAGUCCUGGCUGGACUGUAGAACAGGUACAAAU